Molecule: ribosomal RNA, 500 nt
Filed under: uncultured Glomeromycotina
Lineage: Eukaryota; Fungi; Glomeromycota
Description: partial small subunit ribosomal RNA
Rfam family: Eukaryotic small subunit ribosomal RNA
Source: RNAcentral
CCAAUAGCGUAUAUUAAAGUUGUUGCAGUUAAAAAGCUCGUAGUUGAAUUUCGGGAUCAAUACGUCGGUCGUGCCUCUGGUAUGUACUGGUGUUAUUGAUUUCUCCCUUCUGAUGAACCAUGAUGUCAUUAAUUUGGUGUUGUGUGGAGUCAGGACUGUUACUUUGAAAAAAUUAGAGUGUUUAAAGCAGGCUCACGCUUGAAUACAUUAGCAUGGAAUAAUGAAAUAGGACGUUCGAUCCUAUCUUGUUGGUUUCUAGGAUCAACGUAAUGAUUAAUAGGGAUAGUUGGGGGCAUUAGUAUUCAAUUGUCAGAGGUGAAAUUCUUGGAUUUAUUGAAGACUAACUACUGCGAAAGCAUUUGCCAAGGAUGUUUUCAUUAAUCAAGAACGAAAGUUAGGGGAUCGAAGACGAUCAGAUACCGUCGUAGUCUCAACCAUAAACUAUGCCGACUAGGGAUCGGAUGAUGUUAAUUUUUUAAUGACUCAUUCGGCGCCUUACG